Molecule: transfer RNA, 64 nt
Filed under: Placida sp. 1 NY-2013
Lineage: Eukaryota; Metazoa; Mollusca; Gastropoda; Limapontiidae
Description: tRNA-Asp
Source: RNAcentral
GUUAGUCUAGUUUAUAAAAAUAUUAGCUUGUCGAGUUGAAGAUGCAAUUUAUUUGCGACUAAUU